RNAcentral lists this long non-coding RNA (1111 nucleotides) under Nicotiana benthamiana. Its description in RNAcentral is "long non-coding RNA (NBEN_LNC017221)". The record is from RNAcentral. Lineage: Eukaryota; Viridiplantae; Streptophyta; Magnoliopsida; Solanales; Solanaceae.
GAUUGAAUUACUUUGGUGGGUCUUCAUUUGCAGAAUAGUUGAGUCGGUCCAGACAAACAUGCAAUACCAUACCCAAUAUUAAACCAACAAACCCCAAGUUCAAUCUUUCCACUAAUAUUAUAUCAAACCAUUUAGGAUCAGAUUCACGGUACCAAUAAAUAGGCACGACCAAAGCAAGAUCAGACUUAAUAGAAAGCAUUCAAAAUCAAGUUAAAGUAUCGUAGAAUAACGAAUACAAAAUGAAACGCAGGCAACGAACUGUAUAUCUUCACAUAACCAUUAACACCAUACCAUCCUAACAAAACAUCAAGAAAGAUGAGAGACAGAACCAGGAUGGGCGAUGUAGUGAUAGAGUUAAGCUGGGACUUGAACCACGGACAGAGACCGUCGACCAAGCUCGCUGACCGGAAACACUCGAACAUCAACUUUAACUGGCUCUAUCCCAGCAGUGAAACUCAGACCCGAUUGGACUCCAUGAUUUCGAAAUUGAAAAUUAGAAAAGAAAAAAUAAAAUUGUCGAGACUACACAUAACUAUAACGUCAACAUCAAUAGCUAACUACAUAAGCUACUGCCACUUGGAGAUGAAAGGACUCCAUUCUCGACUCACAAUUACCGUCCCUUAGAGUAUUCCAGAUGCCUCUUUUUGGUCUGGUGCGUACGGUUGUGGGGAGAGAAAGAUGGAUGGAGUUGAAAGGUGAUGUUUCGAUUCUGGUGAGUUGUUGUUGCUGGUCUUCGGUAAUGGCUGCUUCUUGUGUUGGUCCUUUGGAGAAGAAGACGAUGUGGGGUGGGGGGGUUGCUGAUUUUGGUUGUCAGCGACGGUUCUUUUGUUUGCUGCUUCUUCUGGUUUUGUGAAAAUGAUGACAGGGGAUUGGCAGGGUCCUUUUUGGAGUUCAGCGGCGGUUGAUUUUUUGUAUCCCCUCUCUUGUAUCAGGCGUAUUAUGUCCUCCUAUUCAAGACAUAGGCAUUAGGGUAUUUUAGGUGGGGAGAUAGGGUUUUUGGGUGUUGGGUCUAGUUGGGUUGGCCCGGUUUGGGGUUGGGUAAGGGCUAUUUGGGUUUAUAUUUGGGCUCAACCUUAAUUUUGCUCAAAUUGAAUUUAAUAUCAAGCCUUUU